This 471-nucleotide ribosomal RNA is filed under the name Hydrogenophaga sp. '14.5 MW-31'. RNAcentral describes it as "bacterial SSU rRNA". It matches the Rfam family "Bacterial small subunit ribosomal RNA", at positions 1 to 475 of the family's 1533-position model. Lineage: Bacteria; Pseudomonadati; Pseudomonadota; Betaproteobacteria; Burkholderiales; Comamonadaceae. The record is from RNAcentral.
GGGUGAGAUUUAUCCUGGCUAGAUUAACGCUGGCGGCAUGCUUUACACAUGCAAGUCGAACGGUAACAGGCCGCAAGGUGCUGACGAGUGGCGAACGGGUGAGUAAUGCAUCGGAACGUGCCCAGUCGUGGGGGAUAACGCAGCGAAAGUUGCGCUAAUACCGCAUACGAUCUAUGGAUGAAAGCGGGGGACCGUAAGGCCUCGCGCGAUUGGAGCGGCCGAUGUCAGAUUAGGUAGUUGGUGGGGUAAAGGCUCACCAAGCCGACGAUCUGUAGCUGGUCUGAGAGGACGACCAGCCACACUGGGACUGAGACACGGCCCAGACUCCUACGGGAGGCAGCAGUGGGGAAUUUUGGACAAUGGGCGCAAGCCUGAUCCAGCAAUGCCGCGUGCAGGAAGAAGGCCUUCGGGUUGUAAACUGCUUUUGUACGGAACGAAACGGUCCUGGUUAAUACCCGGGGCUAAUGACGG